Long non-coding RNA from Gadus morhua (Atlantic cod), 319 nucleotides. RefSeq lists it as uncharacterized. The record is from RefSeq and is a predicted model, not a curated record. Lineage: Eukaryota; Metazoa; Chordata; Actinopteri; Gadiformes; Gadidae. The transcript has 3 exons.
UUUUCCAGCUGAUAUAGCAGAUCCGACUCCUGAGAGCAGACGUAUCUGAAGCUGUCAGGGAGGAACCGUGGCUACCAUCUCUGAACCGGACCCUGGACUCUCUGAGGAACCUGAGGACACGUCUUUGGACCGGAGGGAGCGCAAGAGAAGAUUUGCUGGUAGAGCAAAGAAGAAGGCUAAGUCCAGACGCCGUGGAAGCCGUCAGAGAGUAACAAUGGUCACCAUCUCGGACCGGGAGGACACCAAGAAGAGAAGAUUUGCUCUAUGGUUUCACAUCAUUGUCAUUGUGAGCAUCGGACUGCUGAGUAUUCUCCUCAUC